AACGAACGCUGGCGGCAUGCCUAACACAUGCAAGUCGAACGAAGCCUUCGGGCUUAGUGGCGCACGGGUGCGUAACGCGUGGGAAUCUGCCCCUUGCUUCGGAAUAACAGUUAGAAAUGACUGCUAAUACCGGAUGAAGUCUUCGGACCAAAGAUUUAUCGGCAAGGGAUGAGCCCGCGUAGGAUUAGGUAGUUGGUGGGGUAAAGGCCUACCAAGCCGACGAUCCUUAGCUGGUCUGAGAGGAUGAUCAGCCACACUGGGACUGAGACACGGCCCAGACUCCUACGGGAGGCAGCAGUGGGGAAUAUUGGACAAUGGACGCAAGUCUGAUCCAGCAAUGCCGCGUGAGUGAUGAAGGCCUUAGGGUUGUAGAGCUCUUUUACCAGGGAUGAUAAUGACAGUACCUGGAGAAUAAGCUCCGGCUAACUCCGUG
RNAcentral lists this ribosomal RNA (433 nucleotides) under uncultured bacterium. RNAcentral's name for it is "partial 16S ribosomal RNA". It matches the Rfam family "Bacterial small subunit ribosomal RNA", at positions 29 to 507 of the family's 1533-position model. The record is from RNAcentral.